AAGAAGAUGGCAGAGUGGUUAUGUGAUCGGCUUGAAACCGGUUUAUGGGGGUUCGAUUCCCUCUCUUUUCG
RNAcentral lists this transfer RNA (71 nucleotides) under Rasbora semilineata. Its description in RNAcentral is "tRNA-Ser". It matches the Rfam family "tRNA". From Rfam's summary of the family: Transfer RNA (tRNA) molecules are approximately 80 nucleotides in length. Their secondary structure includes four short double-helical elements and three loops (D, anti-codon, and T loops). Further hydrogen bonds mediate the characteristic L-shaped molecular structure. tRNAs have two regions of fundamental functional importance: the anti-codon, which is responsible for specific mRNA codon recognition, and the 3' end, to which the tRNAs corresponding amino acid is attached (by aminoacyl-tRNA synthetases). tRNAs cope with the degeneracy of the genetic code in two manners: having more than one tRNA (with a specific anti-codon) for a particular amino acid; and 'wobble' base-pairing, i.e. permitting non-standard base-pairing at the 3rd anti-codon position. The record is from RNAcentral. Lineage: Eukaryota; Metazoa; Chordata; Actinopteri; Cypriniformes; Danionidae.